RNAcentral lists this ribosomal RNA (465 nucleotides) under uncultured bacterium. RNAcentral describes it as "partial 16S ribosomal RNA". It matches the Rfam family "Bacterial small subunit ribosomal RNA", at positions 28 to 507 of the family's 1533-position model. The record is from RNAcentral.
GACGAACGCUGGCGGCGUGCUUAACACAUGCAAGUCGUACGGUAAGGCCCUUUCGGGGGUCCACGAGUGGCGAACGGGUGAGUAACACGUGAGUAACCUGCCCACAACUUUGGGAUAACGCUAGGAAACUGGUGCUAAUACUGGAUAUGUGCUCCUGCUGCAUGGUGGGGGUUGGAAAGCUCCGGCGGUUGUGGAUGGACUCGCGGCCUAUCAGCUUGUUGGUGGGGUAGUGGCCUACCAAGGCGGCGACGGGUAGCCGGCCUGAGAGGGUGACCGGCCACAUUGGGACUGAGAUACGGCCCAGACUCCUACGGGAGGCAGCAGUGGGGAAGAUUGCACAAUGGGCGCAAGCCUGAUGCAGCAACGCCGCGUGCGGGAUGACGGCCUUCGGGUUGUAAACCGCUUUCAGCAGGGACGAAGCUUUUUGUGACGGUACCUGCAGAAGAAGCACCGGCUAACUACGUG